Molecule: unclassified non-coding RNA, 330 nt
Filed under: soil metagenome
Description: partial contains 5.8S ribosomal RNA, internal transcribed spacer 2, and large subunit ribosomal RNA
Rfam family: 5.8S ribosomal RNA (bases 1-120)
Source: RNAcentral
GAUGAAGAACGUAGCGAAAUGCGAUAAGUAGUGUGAAUUGCAGAAUUCAGUGAAUCAUCGAAUCUUUGAACGCACAUUGCGCCCCUUGGUAUUCCAUGGAGCAUGCCUGUUCGAGCGUCAUUUGUACCCUCAAGCUUUGCUUGGUGUUGGGCGUCUUGUCGUAUUACGACUCGCCUUAAAUACAUUGGCAGCCGGCACUUUGGCCUAGGAGCGCAGCACAUUUUGCGAUCGUAGCCCGUUGUACUGGCGUCCAUCAAGAACAUUUACCACGUUUGACCUCGGAUCAGGUAGGGAUACCCGCUGAACUUAAGCAUAUCAAUAAGCGGAGGA